Molecule: ribosomal RNA, 105 nt
Filed under: Peromyscus maniculatus bairdii (prairie deer mouse)
Lineage: Eukaryota; Metazoa; Chordata; Mammalia; Rodentia; Cricetidae
Source: RNAcentral
CUUUGUGGCCCUAUCACCUCACAGGUGCCCAUUCUCAACUGACCUUGGAAGCUAAGCAGGGUGGGGACAGGUUAUUACUUGAAAAAGAUAUCUGUGUGCCAAUGU